GACGAACGCUGGCGGCGUGCCUAAUACAUGCAAGUCGAACGCAGUGGGGACGGGUGAGUAACACGUGGGUAACCUCCCAUCAGAGGGGAUAACACUUGGAAACAGGUGCUAAACCGAUACUGAUGGAUGGACCCGCGGUGCAUUAGCUAGUUGGUGAGGUAACGGCUCACCAAGGCCACGCUGCAUAGCCGACCUUAGAGGGUGAUGGGCCCAAUUGGGACUGAGACACGGCCCAGCCGCCGACGGGAGGCAGCAGGAGGGAAUCUUCGGCAAUGGACGAAAGUCUGAACGAGCAACGCCGCGUGAGUGAUGAAGUUCUUCGGAUCGUAAAACUCUGUUAUUAGGGAAGCGGUACCUAAUCAGAAAGCCACGACUAACUACGUGCCAGCAGCCGCGGUAUUC
This 402-nucleotide ribosomal RNA is filed under the name uncultured bacterium. RNAcentral describes it as "partial 16S ribosomal RNA". It matches the Rfam family "Bacterial small subunit ribosomal RNA", at positions 28 to 525 of the family's 1533-position model. The record is from RNAcentral.